RNAcentral lists this ribosomal RNA (253 nucleotides) under uncultured bacterium. Its description in RNAcentral is "partial 16S ribosomal RNA". It matches the Rfam family "Bacterial small subunit ribosomal RNA", at positions 524 to 776 of the family's 1533-position model. The record is from RNAcentral.
UACAGAGGGUGCAAGCGUUAAUCGGAAUUACUGGGCGUAAAGCGCACGUAGGCGGUUUUGCAAGUCGGAUGUGAAAGCCCCGGGCUCAACCUGGGAAUUGCGUUUGAAACUGGGAAACUAGAGUGUGUGAGAGGGGGGUAGAAUUCCAAGUGUAGCGGUGAAAUGCGUAGAGAUUGGGAGGAAUACCAGUGGCGAAGGCGGCCACCUGGCACAACACUGACGCUCAGGUGCGAAAGCGUGGGGAGCAAACAGG